AUGCAGUCCAUAGCCGACGGUGCCCUGUCCUCGGACAGGGCGAAGAGGGAAUACCGGGCGCCGGGUUAAGGGAUGGUCCCUUAGGCCGGUGAAGCCGGAGCUGCCCCCGCAACUGUGAGCGGACAGCCUGCACCGAAAACCACUGGGUCUCGACCUGGGAAGGUGGUGCCGGCCAUGACCCGCGAGCCAGGAAACCUGCCGUCGCCUGCGAUUUCGC
This 217-nucleotide non-coding RNA is filed under the name Rhodopseudomonas palustris. Lineage: Bacteria; Pseudomonadati; Pseudomonadota; Alphaproteobacteria; Hyphomicrobiales; Nitrobacteraceae. The record is from RNAcentral. RNAcentral also lists the same sequence under 1 other name.